UCAGUCGGCCGGACGGCCGCUCUCGCAAGGAUCGAAAGGUCGCGGGGGAGGAAAGUCCGGGCUCCAUCGACAUACGGUGCCGGAUAACGUCCGGCGGGGGCGACCCCAGGGACAGUGCCACAGAGAACGAACCGCCUUUGUUUCGAUAAAGGUAAGGGUGAAAAGGUGCGGUAAGAGCGCACCGGAUGUCCGGCAACGGAGAUCGCAUGGCAAACCCCACCGGGAGCAAGACCGAAUAGGGACGGCAUAGCGGCAAGUUCGUUUUCGAACGAUAACUCCGCGGGGCGAUGUCAGGCUCGCUGUCCGGGUAGGUUGCUUGAGGCGCGGGGUAACUCGCGUCCCAGAGGAAUGGCCGUCACGUCUUGAACGGUGCGAACCAUUCAGGGCCCUACAGAACCCGGCUUACAGGCUGGCUGACGAC
Molecule: RNase P RNA, 421 nt
Filed under: Bradyrhizobiaceae bacterium
Lineage: Bacteria; Pseudomonadati; Pseudomonadota; Alphaproteobacteria; Hyphomicrobiales; Nitrobacteraceae
Description: RNase P RNA component class A
Rfam family: Bacterial RNase P class A
About the family: Ribonuclease P (RNase P) is a ubiquitous endoribonuclease, found in archaea, bacteria and eukarya as well as chloroplasts and mitochondria. Its best characterised activity is the generation of mature 5'-ends of tRNAs by cleaving the 5'-leader elements of precursor-tRNAs.
Source: RNAcentral